AACGAACGCUGGCGGCAUGCCUAACACAUGCAAGUCGAACGCUCCGCAAGGGGAGUGGCGAACGGGUGAGUAACGCGUGGGAACCUGCCCAGUAGUUGGGGAUAACCGCGGGAAACUGCGGCUAAUACCGAAUACGCCCUAAGGGGGAAAGAUUUAUCGCUAUUGGAGGGGCCCGCGUCGGAUUAGCUGGUUGGUGAGGUAACGGCUCACCAAGGCGACGAUCCGUAGCUGGUCUGAGAGGAUGAUCAGCCACACUGGGACUUAGACACGGCCCAGACUCCUACGGGAGGCAGCAGUGGGGAAUAUUGGACAAGUGGGGGCAACCCUGAUCCAGCAAUGCCGCGUGAGUGAUGAAGGCCUUAGGGUUGUAAAGC
RNAcentral lists this ribosomal RNA (374 nucleotides) under uncultured bacterium. Its description in RNAcentral is "bacterial SSU rRNA". It matches the Rfam family "Bacterial small subunit ribosomal RNA", at positions 29 to 431 of the family's 1533-position model. The record is from RNAcentral.